UACAGAGGUCUCAAGCGUUUGUUCGGAUUCAUUGGGGCGUAAAGGGUGCGUAGGUGGCGAGGCAAGUCUGGUGUGAAAUCCCGGGGGCUCAACCCCCGGAACUGCACUGGAUACUGCCUUGCUUGAGCACUUGGAGAGGGAACUGGAAUUUACGGUGUAGCAGUGAAAUGCGCAGAUAUCGGGAGGAACACCAGUGGCGAAGGCGGCACGUCUGGGCCGGAACUGGACGCUGAGGAGCGAAAGCGAUGGGGAGCGAAC
This 258-nucleotide ribosomal RNA is filed under the name uncultured bacterium. Its description in RNAcentral is "partial 16S ribosomal RNA". It matches the Rfam family "Bacterial small subunit ribosomal RNA", at positions 524 to 773 of the family's 1533-position model. The record is from RNAcentral.